This 610-nucleotide ribosomal RNA is filed under the name Klebsiella pneumoniae. Its description in RNAcentral is "bacterial SSU rRNA". It matches the Rfam family "Bacterial small subunit ribosomal RNA", at positions 54 to 655 of the family's 1533-position model. The record is from RNAcentral. Lineage: Bacteria; Pseudomonadati; Pseudomonadota; Gammaproteobacteria; Enterobacterales; Enterobacteriaceae.
CAUGCAAGUCGAGCGGUAGCACAGAGAGCUUGCUCUCGGGUGACGAGCGGCGGACGGGUGAGUAAUGUCUGGGAAACUGCCUGAUGGAGGGGGAUAACUACUGGAAACGGUAGCUAAUACCGCAUAACGUCGCAAGACCGAAGUGAGGGACCUUCGGGCCUCAUGCCAUCAGAUGUGCCCAGAUGGGAUUAGCUAGUAGGUGGGGUAACGGGUCACCUAGGCGACGAUCCCUAGCUGUGCUGAGAGGAUGACCAGCCACACUGUAACUGAGACACGGUCCAGACUCCUACGGGAGGCAGCAGUGGGGAAUAUUGCACAAUGGGCGCAAGCCUGAUGCAGCCAUGCCGCGUGUGUGAAGAAGGCCUUCGGGUUGUAAAGCACUUUCAGCGUGGAGGAAGGCGAUAAGGUUAAUAACCUUGUCGAUUGACGUUACCCGCAGAAGAAGCACCGGCUAACUCCGUGCCAGCAGCCGCGCUAAUACGGAGGGUGCAAGCGUUAAUCUGAAUUACUGUGCGUAAAGCGCACGCAGGCGGUCUGUCAAGUCGGAUGUGAAAUCCCCGGGCUCAACCUGGGAACUGCAUUCGAAACUGGCAGGCUAGAGUCUUGUAGA